RNAcentral lists this ribosomal RNA (530 nucleotides) under Phaeosphaeria sp. CJL-2014. RNAcentral describes it as "eukaryotic LSU rRNA". The stretch from base 159 to 312 matches the Rfam family "5.8S ribosomal RNA". The record is from RNAcentral. Lineage: Eukaryota; Fungi; Ascomycota; Dothideomycetes; Pleosporales; Phaeosphaeriaceae.
UGUCAGUCUGUAUAGCUUAAUCGCUGAUGAGCAGCCGGUCUCUUUUAUCUACCCUUGUCUUUUGCGUACCUAUGUUUCCUCGGCAGGCUUGCCUGCCGACUGGACAACCUUAUAACCUUUUUAAUUUUCAAUCAGCGUCUGAAAAACUUAAUAAUUACAACUUUCAACAACGGAUCUCUUGGUUCUGGCAUCGAUGAAGAACGCAGCGAAAUGCGAUAAGUAGUGUGAAUUGCAGAAUUCAGUGAAUCAUCGAAUCUUUGAACGCACAUUGCGCCCCUUGGUAUUCCAUGGGGCAUGCCUGUUCGAGCGUCAUUUGUACCUUCAAGCUUUGCUUGGUGUUGGGUGUUUGUCCUCUCCCUGGUGUUUGGACUCGCCUUAAAACAAUUGGCAGCCAGUGUUUUGGUAUAGAAGCGCAGCACAAGUCGCGAUUCUAACCUGGCAACACUUGCGCCCACAAGCCUUUUUUCACUUUUGACCUCGGAUCAGGUAGGGAUACCCGCUGAACUUAAGCAUAUCAAUAAGCGGAGGAA